Molecule: ribosomal RNA, 426 nt
Filed under: uncultured Actinomycetes bacterium
Lineage: Bacteria; Bacillati; Actinomycetota; Actinomycetes
Description: bacterial SSU rRNA
Rfam family: Bacterial small subunit ribosomal RNA
Source: RNAcentral
GCGGCCUAUCAGCUUGUUGGUGAGGUAAUGGCUCACCAAGGCUACGACGGGUAUCCGGCCUGAGAGGGCGACCGGACACACUGGGACUGAGACACGGCCCAGACUCCUACGGGAGGCAGCAGUGGGGAAUAUUGGGCAAUGGACGCAAGUCUGACCCAGCGACGCCGCGUGAGGGAUGAAGGCCUUCGGGUUGUAAACCUCUUUCAGUAGGGAAGAAGCGAAAGUGACGGUACCUACAAAAGAAGCACCGGCUAACUAUGUGCCAGCAGCCGCGGUAAUACAUAGGGUGCAAGCGUUGUCCGGAUUUAUUGGGCGUAAAGAACUCGUAGGUGGCUUGUUACGUCGAAUGUGAAACUCUGGGGCUCAACCCCAGACCUGCAUCCGAUACGGGCAGACUAGAGUGUGGUAGGGGAGACUGGAAUUCCU